Molecule: ribosomal RNA, 482 nt
Filed under: uncultured Pseudomonadota bacterium
Lineage: Bacteria; Pseudomonadati; Pseudomonadota
Description: bacterial SSU rRNA
Rfam family: Bacterial small subunit ribosomal RNA
Source: RNAcentral
UGGGGAAUCUUGGACAAUGGGCGAAAGCCUGAUCCAGCCAUGCCGCGUGGAUGAUGAAGGCCCUAGGGUUGUAAAAUCCUUUCGUUGGGGACGAUAAUGACGGUACCCAAAGAAGAAGCCCCGGCUAACUUCGUGCCAGCAGCCGCGGUAAUACGAAGGGGGCUAGCGUUGCUCGGAAUCACUGGGCGUAAAGCGCACGUAGGCGGCUUCUUAAGUCAGGGGUGAAAGCCUGGAGCUCAACUCCAGAACUGCCUUUGAUACUGAGAAGCUCGAGUCCGGGAGAGGUGAGUGGAACUGCGAGUGUAGAGGUGAAAUUCGUAGAUAUUCGCAAAGAACACCAGUGGCGAAAGGCGGCUCACUGGCCCGGUACUGACGCUGAGGUGCGAAAGCGUGGGGAGCAAACAGGAUUAGAUACUCUGGUAGUCCACGCCGUAAACGAUGAAUGCUAGCCGUUGGCGGGCUUGCCCGUCAGUGGCGCAGCU